Molecule: unclassified non-coding RNA, 259 nt
Filed under: Hevea brasiliensis (rubber tree)
Lineage: Eukaryota; Viridiplantae; Streptophyta; Magnoliopsida; Malpighiales; Euphorbiaceae
Source: RNAcentral
GUUUGGUUGUGAUGAUAUAUAGGACAUAGAAAUAUAGGCUGUUAGCCUGUUAUUAGGAUAACCAAUUACGGUUGAAUUCCAAUAUUAGAUAGUUAAUAUAACUACCAAAGAAUCUGUUGUAACUGAAAUAAUAUACAAGAAUUAUCUUCUCUCUUUAGAUUUUUUUUCCCUCUCUUAUCUUCUCCCUUUUUUUCCUCGAUUCACUCUUAUCUCUAUCAGUCACGUUCUCCAAUCGCAGGUCCUAUAAAGGUGUUAUCAU